GGACAAGCGAAUAAGUGCACAUGGUGGAUGCCUUGGCGAUUACAGGCGAUGAAGGACGUAGUAGCUUGCGAUAAGCUGCGGGGAGUGAGCAAACACACUUUGAUCCGCAGAUUUCCGAAUGGGGCAACCCACCCUUUUAGGGUAUUGCAUACUGAAUACAUAGGUAUGCAAGGCGAACGCGGCGAACUGAAACAUCUAAGUAGCUGCAGGAAAAGAAAUCAACCGAGAUUCCCAAAGUAGCGGCGAGCGAAAUGGGAAGAGCCUGUACGUGAUAGUCGGACCGAUAACAGAAUCCUCUGGAAAUAGGAGCCAUAGCGGGUGAUAGCCCCGUAUGUGAAAUCGGACCGGUGGUACUAAGCGUACGACAAGUAGGGCGGGACACGUGACAUCCUGUCUGAAUAUGGGGGGACCAUCCUCCAAGGCUAAAUACUCGUAAUCG
RNAcentral lists this ribosomal RNA (439 nucleotides) under Janthinobacterium sp. SUN120. Its description in RNAcentral is "partial 23S ribosomal RNA". It matches the Rfam family "Bacterial large subunit ribosomal RNA", at positions 1 to 482 of the family's 2925-position model. The record is from RNAcentral. Lineage: Bacteria; Pseudomonadati; Pseudomonadota; Betaproteobacteria; Burkholderiales; Oxalobacteraceae.